UACGCUGUUAUCCCUUAGGUAAUUUAGUCUUAUAAUCAACAAGAAUGGAUCAAAUUAUUAUAAAUAAAUAUAUAAAUAAAAAAAAAGAGUUUAUUAAUUCAUUUUCAUCACCCCAACAAAAUAAAUUCUAUAAUAAAUACUUUUAACAAACAAAACAAUUAUAGAAUUUAUUAAACUCUAUAGGGUCUUCUCGUCCCAUAAAAAAAUUUAAGCAUUUUAACUUAAAAUUUAAAUUCAAAAUAUAUUAUUAAGAAACAGUGUAUUCCUCGUCCAACCAUUCAUUCUAGUCCUCAAUUAAAAGACUAAUGAUUAUGCUACCUUUGCACGGUCAAAAUACCGCGGCCCUUUAAAAUUAAUCAGUGGGCAGGUUAUACUUCAAAAUAAAAACAAGAAGAGAUGUUUUUGAUAAACAGGCG
RNAcentral lists this ribosomal RNA (416 nucleotides) under Angustonicus boucheti. Its description in RNAcentral is "partial 16S ribosomal RNA". The record is from RNAcentral. Lineage: Eukaryota; Metazoa; Arthropoda; Insecta; Blattodea; Blattidae.